This 72-nucleotide transfer RNA is filed under the name Salmo salar (Atlantic salmon). It matches the Rfam family "tRNA". From Rfam's summary of the family: Transfer RNA (tRNA) molecules are approximately 80 nucleotides in length. Their secondary structure includes four short double-helical elements and three loops (D, anti-codon, and T loops). The record is from Rfam by way of RNAcentral. Lineage: Eukaryota; Metazoa; Chordata; Actinopteri; Salmoniformes; Salmonidae.
UCCCGUGUGGCUCAGUUGGUAGAGCAUGGUGUUUGCAACGCCAGGGUCGUGGGUUCGAUUCCCACAGGGGAC